CAAAUAAUCCAAUCUGCUAAUCUCUGAUACUGCUUUAUACUCACGACCUUGUAUCCACUGACUGUCUUCUUAGAUUAACCCAAAAAUUUUCAUUCACUCCGCAUACUCAAUCCUAUAGAUACCUUUUUAAUUCUUCAAUCACAGACAUAACUUUGAUUUCACAAAACAGUCAAGAGUAAUCACACCCUCUUCAUUAAAAAUCUCGAUUCACCAUUACAACAAUGACUUCAGUAACGAGUGCCUCAGUCUUUCCAAAACCCUAUGAAAAAAAAAUCCCAUUCCUCUGUCUUUUUUGCCUGCCUCAAAGCAUGAAGCUAGCUCUCCGAUCCUUCUAAAAAGCCUUCUUCUCUCCCCUUCAUUUCUUAACCUAUCCUCCCCUUUAACCCUAAUUCUCUCCUCUUUCAAACCCUAGUCAAUGAAUUUCCUCAAUCUUCCAUCUUGGAUCCAAAAUUGGCUCCCGCCAUCAGAGCUUUCUCCUCCAUUUUUAUCUUUAAGAGAUCCUUUUACCGAAAGGAUGUUCCCG
RNAcentral lists this long non-coding RNA (523 nucleotides) under Physcomitrium patens. RNAcentral describes it as "long non-coding RNA (PPAT_LNC007501)". The record is from RNAcentral. Lineage: Eukaryota; Viridiplantae; Streptophyta; Bryopsida; Funariales; Funariaceae.